RNAcentral lists this ribosomal RNA (418 nucleotides) under Eutropis multifasciata (many-lined sun skink). Its description in RNAcentral is "partial 16S ribosomal RNA". It matches the Rfam family "Bacterial large subunit ribosomal RNA", at positions 1969 to 2589 of the family's 2925-position model. Lineage: Eukaryota; Metazoa; Chordata; Lepidosauria; Squamata; Scincidae. The record is from RNAcentral.
UUGUCUUCUAAAUAAAGACUAGUAUGAACGGCUAAAUGAGGACAAAACUGUCUCUUAUGACUAAUCAGUGAAACUGAUCUACCAGUACAAAAGCUGGUAUUACCACAUAAGACGAGAAGACCCUGUGGAGCUUAAAACAAACCACUACCCAAUAAGACCCCUAGUGUACUGUUUUAAGUUGGGGCGACUUCGGAACAAAACAAAACUUCCGAGCAUGGAUCCACCACAUCAAGCCAAGGCCUACAAGCCAAAAUAAAAACUGACCCGGCCCCCGCCGAUCAACGAACCAAGUUACCCCAGGGAUAACAGCGCUAUCUUCUUCAAGAGUCCCUAUCGACAAGAAGGUUUACGACCUCGAUGUUGGAUCAGGACACCCAGGUGGUGCAGCCGCUACUAAAGGUUCGUUUGUUCAACGAUU